Molecule: ribosomal RNA, 497 nt
Filed under: uncultured bacterium
Lineage: Bacteria
Description: partial 16S ribosomal RNA
Rfam family: Bacterial small subunit ribosomal RNA
Source: RNAcentral
GAUGAACGCUGGCGGCGUGCCUAAUACAUGCCAGUCGAGCGAACGGACGAGAAGCUUGCUUCUCUGAUGUUAGCGGCGGACGGGUGAGUAACACGUGGAUAACCUACCUAUAAGACUGGGAUAACUUCGGGAAACCGGAGCUAAUACCGGAUAAUAUUUUGAACCGCAUGGUUCAAAAGUGAAAGACGGUCUUGCUGUCACUUAUAGAUGGAUCCGCGCUGCAUUAGCUAGUUGGUAAGGUAACGGCUUACCAAGGCAACGAUGCAUAGCCGACCUGAGAGGGUGAUCGGCCACACUGGAACUGAGACACGGUCCAGACUCCUACGGGAGGCAGCAGUAGGGAAUCUUCCGCAAUGGGCGAAAGCUUGACGGAGCAACGCCGCGUGAGUGAUGAAGGUCUUCGGAUCGUAAAACUCUGUUAUUAGGGAAGAACAUAUGUGUAAGUAACUGUGCACAUCUUGACGGUACCUAAUCAGAAAGCCACGGCUAACUACGUG